AUCGCUUCUCGGCCUUUUGGCUAAGAUCAAGUGUGUGAGAAUCUAUCCACACAAUAUAAUCUAAAUUAUUAAGGAUUUUUUAAAAUGUUAUGUUCUUCAUGGACUUCAUGUUCUUCAAAGUACCUCCUGUUCUUUAUUUCAUUUGAAAUCUAGACUAGCCUUUCU
RNAcentral lists this small nuclear RNA (165 nucleotides) under Pseudonaja textilis. RNAcentral describes it as "U2 spliceosomal RNA (ENSPTXG00000000692.1)". The stretch from base 1 to 128 matches the Rfam family "U2 spliceosomal RNA". From Rfam's summary of the family: U2 is a small nuclear RNA (snRNA) component of the spliceosome (involved in pre-mRNA splicing). The record is from RNAcentral. Lineage: Eukaryota; Metazoa; Chordata; Lepidosauria; Squamata; Elapidae.